AGCUCCAAUAGCGUAUAUUAAAGUUGUUGCAGUUAAAAAGCUCGUAGUUGAAUUUUGGACCUGGCUGGGUGGUCUUGCCGCAAGGUAAGCACUGCCUCUGGUCGGGUCUUUCCUUCUGGGGAACCUGUGUGCCCUUAAUUGAGUGCGCAGGGGAUCCAGGACUUUUACUUUGAAAAAAUUAGAGUGUUUAAAGCAGGCUUUCGCUUGAAUACAUUAGCAUGGAAUAAUAGAAUAGGACUUUGGUUCUAUUUUGUUGGUUUCUAGGACCGAAGUAAUGAUUAAUAGGGAUAGUUGGGGGCAUUAGUAUUUAAUUGUCAGAGGUGAAAUUCUUGGAUUUAUGAAAGACUAACUUCUGCGAAAGCAUUUGCCAAGGAUGUUU
RNAcentral lists this ribosomal RNA (379 nucleotides) under uncultured eukaryote. RNAcentral describes it as "SSU rRNA". It matches the Rfam family "Eukaryotic small subunit ribosomal RNA", at positions 587 to 969 of the family's 1831-position model. The record is from RNAcentral.